UGGGGAAUUUUGGACAAUGGGCGCAAGCCUGACCCAGCAAUGCCGCGUGUGUGAAGAAGGCCUUCUGGUUGUAAAGCACUUUUGUCCGGAAAGAAAACCCCGUGGUUAAUACCCUUGGGGGAUGACGGUAACUCAAGAAUAAGCACCGGCUAAAUACGUGCCAGCAGCCGCGGUAAUACGUAGGGUGCAAGCGUUAAUCGGAAUUACUGGGCGUAAAGCGUGCGCAGGCGGUUCGCUAAGACAGAUGUGAAAUCCCCGGGCUUAACCUAGGAACUGCAUUUGUGACUGGCGAGCUAGAGUAUGGCAGAGGGGGGUAGAAUUCCACGUGUAGCAGUGAAAUGCGUAGAGAUGUGGAGGAAUACCGAUGGCGAAGGCAGCCAUCUGGGCUAAUACUGACGCUCAUGCACGAAAGCGUGGGGAGCAAACAGG
RNAcentral lists this ribosomal RNA (429 nucleotides) under Bacillota bacterium. RNAcentral's name for it is "Firmicutes bacterium partial 16S ribosomal RNA". It matches the Rfam family "Bacterial small subunit ribosomal RNA", at positions 355 to 776 of the family's 1533-position model. The record is from RNAcentral. Lineage: Bacteria; Bacillati; Bacillota.